UGCAUCUGAGGCCAGUGAGGAUGAGAACCUCCGGGGGCAGGAGGUUCGACUCGAGCGAAGCGAGAGAACGUUGCGUCAGCAACGGCCCGCAGGGCGAGCCACGAAGUGGUGAGU
This 114-nucleotide small RNA is filed under the name Klebsiella pneumoniae. RNAcentral's name for it is "partial RtT sRNA". It matches the Rfam family "RtT RNA", at positions 1 to 111 of the family's 130-position model. Rfam says of the family: This family represents a bacterial cis-regulatory element known as RtT RNA. The exact function of RtT is unknown although it is thought that it may be involved in changing the cellular response in relation to amino acid starvation. RNAcentral also lists the same sequence under 2 other names. The record is from RNAcentral. Lineage: Bacteria; Pseudomonadati; Pseudomonadota; Gammaproteobacteria; Enterobacterales; Enterobacteriaceae.